Molecule: ribosomal RNA, 450 nt
Filed under: uncultured bacterium
Lineage: Bacteria
Description: partial 16S ribosomal RNA
Rfam family: Bacterial small subunit ribosomal RNA
Source: RNAcentral
GUGGGGAAUAUUGGACAAUGGGCGAAAGCCUGAUCCAGCCAUGCCGCGUGUGUGAAGAAGGUCUUCGGAUUGUAAAGCACUUUAAGUUGGGAGGAAGGGCAGUAAGUUAAUACCUUGCUGUUUUGACGUUACCGACAGAAUAAGCACCGGCUAACUUCGUGCCAGCAGCCGCGGUAAUACGAAGGGUGCAAGCGUUAAUCGGAAUUACUGGGCGUAAAGCGCGCGUAGGUGGUUUUGUAAGUUGGAGGUGAAAUCCCCGGGCUCAACCUGGGAACUGCCUCCAAAACUGCAUGACUAGAGUACGGUAGAGGGUAGUGGAAUUUCCUGUGUAGCGGUGAAAUGCGUAGAUAUAGGAAGGAACACCAGUGGCGAAGGCGACUACCUGGACUGAUACUGACACUGAGGUGCGAAAGCGUGGGGACCAAACAGGAUUAGGUACCCGUGUAGUCC